Non-coding RNA from Triticum aestivum (bread wheat), 135 nucleotides. NCBI's taxonomy places the organism in Eukaryota, Viridiplantae, Streptophyta, Magnoliopsida, Poales, Poaceae. The record is from Rfam.
CAGAUACUCCCUCCGUCCAAAAAUACUUGUUAUCAAAAUAGAUAAAAAGAGAUGUAUUUAGAACUAAAAUACGUUUAGAUCCAUCCACUUUUAUCCAUUUUGAUGACAAGUAUUUCCGGACGGAGGGAGUAGAUA